UGUUUUCUAGAGUUUUCAUUCAUCUAUAAAAAGGGAUAGCAAACCAGCAGCAAAGAUCAUCAAGGAUCAUAGAUUCCUUCACCAGCACCGAAGUUGCCUUCUUUCUUUUCUUCUCUUUGUGUCUUCUUUGCAAGCCAUGAGUGGUUAAAUACACAAUUUCUAGUUGAAGUUGGAGAAAUUUCAAUUUAUUUAUGAAUUGGAAGAUUUGAAACUCUAUUGUCAAUCUUUUAUUUUUCAGUAUUUAUGCAACUUCAUUCUUCAUAUCAUUGUUGCCUUGCUGUUAGAAUCAAUAGGCCUUGUUGCUUUUAAUUGCAAAGUAAUAUAUUGUCAGUUUGAAUAUUUUAGGUCCAUAAUUACUUAGAUUGUUCAAACACAAGUAACAAUUAGUGUAACAACUAAGAGGUUGCAUGAUCUAACUCACCAUGCG
RNAcentral lists this long non-coding RNA (427 nucleotides) under Manihot esculenta (cassava). RNAcentral's name for it is "long non-coding RNA (MESC_LNC000220)". Lineage: Eukaryota; Viridiplantae; Streptophyta; Magnoliopsida; Malpighiales; Euphorbiaceae. The record is from RNAcentral.